AGAUAAUAAUAGGGACGAGUGUUAUUUCUAUUUUUAUUUUUGAUUUUUAUGACUUUUAUUAUAAAUUAUUGCUAAUUUUAUUAGUUGAGAUUUAUUAAUAAUUUUUGGAAGAGAUGGGGGACUUAAGGUUCAAUUAGAUUAAAAUCGCAAUAUAGCUCGUUUAAAGGCACUGUCGCUCACAUAAUUGUAAGAUAUAUUGCCAAUUCUCGGC
RNAcentral lists this long non-coding RNA (211 nucleotides) under Olea europaea (common olive). Its description in RNAcentral is "long non-coding RNA (OEUR_LNC006718)". Lineage: Eukaryota; Viridiplantae; Streptophyta; Magnoliopsida; Lamiales; Oleaceae. The record is from RNAcentral.